RNAcentral lists this ribosomal RNA (292 nucleotides) under uncultured bacterium. RNAcentral's name for it is "partial 16S ribosomal RNA". It matches the Rfam family "Bacterial small subunit ribosomal RNA", at positions 775 to 1067 of the family's 1533-position model. The record is from RNAcentral.
GGAUUAGAUACCCUGGUAGUCCACGCCGUAAACGUUGGGCGCUAGGUGUGGGACCCUAUCCACGGGUUCCGUGCCGCAGCUAACGCAUUAAGCGCCCCGCCUGGGGAGUACGGCCGCAAGGCUAAAACUCAAAGGAAUUGACGGGGGCCCGCACAAGCGGCGGAGCAUGCGGAUUAAUUCGAUGCAACGCGAAGAACCUUACCAAGGCUUGACAUAUACCGAAAACUCCUGGAGACAGGGGGUCCGCAAGGGCGGUAUACAGGUGGUGCAUGGUUGUCGUCAGCUCGUGCCG